Molecule: long non-coding RNA, 3919 nt
Organism: Neofelis nebulosa (Clouded leopard)
Lineage: Eukaryota; Metazoa; Chordata; Mammalia; Carnivora; Felidae
Exons: 2
Source: RefSeq, a predicted model, not a curated record
AGUGAUCAGAGCCUCGGACCCUCAGAUGAGGGUCUGGCUCACCUCAACAAGUAAGCCAUCCAAACUCGCUGGGGUUCUGGUGAAGGACACGGGGAAUCUGGACUGGGAAAGAGAAGGAGACACUAUCAGUUAUGGCUUCAAGACCAGCGGCAGCAGUGGAAGCUGUAAGUCAUUCUACUAAUCUUCCCUUUGUAAGUUUUCCCUAAGAAAAGAUCCUUGUGGGAUCUUGGAGGAGCUGCUGCCCAAAUGUACAAGAAGAAAUUGAUCCAUGCUGCUCAAGUGUGGAUUGUGCACUGCACAAAUGAGAUCUCCUCGGGACGGAAGCCGGCAGCCCUCUCUGAGGGUCACUCUCAGCCUAAGAGAGCCACCCUGCAUCCCCGGUCACCUUCCCCAUGGGGGUCAGCCUGCACCCAGUGCCUGGAUGAGGCUUCAUUGUAAUUGUAUCUCAGCCCGGCUUCUUUACCUAAUCCUGAUCCCUUCUCUUCCCCCAUAAGUACUGAAUCUGAAGAGCUCCCUUGCACACAAAUUUCCAUUUCAGAGCCUGGUUUUGGGAGAACCUCACCUAUAACAUGUUCCCCACACAAAAGAUACAAAAAUUUUCCUGUAUUUUUUUUUCUUUCGUAGUUAUUUUUCCCUCUAUGUUUAACUCUUCAGGAUUUCAGCCAUCUGUAAUUUAUUUUGUGGCACCUAGUGUGUGUGUGUGUGUGUGUGUACAUCUAAUAUCUAUAAUUUAUUUCAGGUAGGCACCUAAAUUUUUACUCUGCUAAGGAAAGCCAGUUAUCCCAAAAUACCAUCUUUUCCCCCAUUGCUUUGAAAUGCCAAUAUGAUUAUGUACUAAAUUCUCAAUAUUUGGGGGUCUUUUUCUUGAAUCUACUCUGUUCUAUUGAUGUUUGGGGCUAUUCAUGUGCCAAAACCGUAUUUCAAAAAUUACAGUAGAUCUCUGCUCUGCACAGGACAAAGAAUCCCUUACAACAUGUUCAUGGCAAUCUUUGCUCAUUCACUUUCAGGCAAAUGCUAGAAACAGUUUAUCAAAUCCCUUGAAACAUCCUGUUAGGAUUUUGAUGGAAUUUGCACAGAAUUCAUAUUGAUUAAUUUGGGGGUAAUUAUACCUUGACAACAUCACUCUGGAAUACAUCUAUUUAUUCAGGUCCUCAUUUAUGUAUUUCACUAAUAUUUUUUAAAUUUUUUUAAAUGUUUAUUUAUUUUUGAGAGACAGAGAGAGACAGAGCGUGAGUGGAGGAGGGGCAGAGAGCGAGGGAGACCCAGAAUCCGAAGCAGGCUCCAGGCUCUGAGCCAUCACCACAGAGCCUGACGCAGGGCUCGAACUCAUCAACUGCAACAUCAUGACCUGAGCCAAAGUCGGACGCUCAACCGACUGAGCCACCCAGGCGCCCCUAUUUCACUAAUAUAUUUUUCUUAAGGUUUAUUUAUUUUUGAGAGAGAGAGAGAGAGAGCACAAGAGGGGAAGGGACAGAGACAGAGAGGGAGAGAAUUCAAAGCAGGGUUCCUGCUGACAGCAGCAAGCUGGAUGUGGGGCUCCAACUUACGAACCGUGGGAUCAGUUGGACGCUCAACCAACUAAGCCACCCAAGUGUCCCUAUUUCACUAAUACAGGUGUUUCUUAUGUAAGUCUUGCACAUAUCAUGUUAUGUUUAUUGCUCUGUAUUUUAAAGAGUUCUUUGUGCUUACCGGGAAUGGGAUGAUUUUUCCUUUCCUUUAUGAUUUUUAUUUGGCUGGGGAAACAAACAGGUAAACAAAUAUAGAAAUAAGAUAAUUUUUACAAGUUACAUGAGCUACAAAAGAAACAACUCAAGGCAAUGUGAUUCAGUGUGUAGUUGUUGGGGGUAGAGUUACUUUAUUUUUUUUUUUAAUUUUAUUUUUUAUUUUUUAAAAAUUUACAGCCAAGUUAGUUAGCAUAUAGUGCAACAAUAAUUUCAGGAGUAGAUUCCUUAAAGCCCUUUACCCAUUUAGCCCAUCCCCCCUCCCACAACCUCUCCAGUAACCCUCAGUUUGUUCUCCCUAUUUUAUGAGUCUCUUCUGUUUUGUCCCCCUCCCUGUUUUUAUUUUUUGUUUCCCUUCCCUUAUGUUCAUCUGUUUUGUCUCUGAAAGGCCUCCUAUGAGUGAAGUCAUAUGAUAUUUGUCUUUCUCUGACUAAUUUCACUUAGCAGAAUACCCUCCAGUUUCCAUCCACGUAGUUGCAAAUGGCAGGGAUUUUUAAAGUGUAUUUCUGUGUUGUUGUUGAUAGUAUAAAAGAAAACAAUGAUUUUGAUCAUGUAUAUGGAUUUUAUUAAACUUUUUCAUUAUUCCUAGUAGUUUCACAGUAUAGUAUACCUCGCAUUUUGUGGUAAUUAUCUAUAAAUAACAGUUUUGUCUUUUCUUUCCCAGUAUUAAGUCUGCCUGUUUCUUCUUCUUCUUCUUCUUCUUCUUCUUCUUCUUCUUCUUCUUUGUCUUCUUACAUUGGCAGAAAUUUGUGAUGCAAUUUUAAAUGGUAGCAGUGAUAGCAAUAUCCUUGAGUUUUCCCAGCAUUAGAGAGCACGUUAACUGCUGUGCACGAUGUUGGAGGUCUGAUGUAGGUCUUUCUGGUAGAUACUCUUUAUUGAGUUAAGAAUCAAAAUGCCAGAAAAUAAAUAUACAUUGAAAUAUAUGAUAAUUCUAAUUAAAUACACACACACACACACACACACACACAUCUUGGUUGCCAUAUAUAUAUAUAUAUGGCAGUUGCUAUCCCAGUUGCUAUCUCUUUUUCGUUGCUUGAUGCAAUUAAGAGAGACUUUGGUUUUAAAAUUUUUUUUCUUUGCACACGUUGUUUCAAAAAAUGAGAGGAAAAGGUCCUAAUCUUUUUAAACGGUAAGAAUUUAGUGCAGCAGUCUAUGCCAAGUGGGAAACUGGAUCAAGGAUCCUUUUGAACAGACUAGUAGGCAAACAAUUGGAGUUGGGAAAACUAAUGACUAAACUGGAAGGUUCCUUAUUGUAACUACUCCCUCUUCUGGUCAGGGUGGCUUAGGGCUUAAGCGCCAAUGGGAAACAUACCAGAGGUCAACCUCUCAGAGCCAAGUUCUGACUGGUGAAGGAGGACUGUCAGCAACGUCUCUGAGAGGAGGGUGAGGGGCUGUCCAUGUUCAUUCUUCCGUGAGGGAAGAACCUACAAACUUAAAAGUGAUGGGCACCCACGGUAGCUAUCUGGAAGACGAGAGUCCUGUUGUGAGCCCCCGGAAGCCUGACCUACAUCUUGGGAAGGAUCCCAGGAGCUAUAUCAGAUAAGUGGGCUCCAAAAAUAAAGGGUGCUUGGGAAAAGAAAACAAAAUUCAGAAAGUGAUGGCCAGCAUCCAGUGUCAAACUGUAGAGGUGAAUCUCGGGCAUAAUGUGAUCAGGAGCUGAGACUAUUAAGAGAAACAGGUGAGAAAGUUAGUGCAAGAUUAAAGUGAAUUUUUUAUGAACUUGGGGCCAUUUAUUUCAGUUAAAGUGAAUUCUUAGUGAACUUCAGGCCGGGUGCGCAAAGCAAAAAGGUAGGGUUUUCGAGGGCUUUCUUAAAAAUUUCUAUUUUGAAAUAACUUUAAAUUUGGAAAAAAGUUACAAAAAUUACAGAGAGUUCUUGUAUAUCCUUCAGCCCACUACUUCCAAUGUUACCAUCUUACAGAACCAAAGCUGAAUUAUCGAAACCGGUUUGUUUGGUUUUUAAUUCCACGCUGGCUGUGUAUUGAGAGCUGUGGCCAGCUGCCUCUUACCUUUGCCCAGGACAGAGCAGACAGUACGUGAGUCCCAAGAACAUGUAGUGUAGUGUAGAACAUUAGACCAAAUGAGAGCAAGGGCCUGAUCUCAAGUGAUUUUUUUCCUGAUGAAAAUUUUAUUACAGAAAAGAAAACUCUGUAGUUGUCUAUUCCAGACUAUGGAAGUGAGAUAAAAGAUGAAGGCAAAA